This 78-nucleotide small RNA is filed under the name Xanthomonas melonis. Its description in RNAcentral is "sX9 sRNA". It matches the Rfam family "Xanthomonas sRNA sX9". The record is from RNAcentral. Lineage: Bacteria; Pseudomonadati; Pseudomonadota; Gammaproteobacteria; Lysobacterales; Lysobacteraceae.
AUAUUCCGUUCGUACAGUCCGGUUUCGAGCGCGCCGUCCAUCCCUGCCCGACGACUGUUUGCUACGUUUCCGUCAGCC